Bubalus bubalis (water buffalo) is the source of this 1107-nucleotide long non-coding RNA. RefSeq lists it as uncharacterized. Lineage: Eukaryota; Metazoa; Chordata; Mammalia; Artiodactyla; Bovidae. The record is from RefSeq and is a predicted model, not a curated record. The transcript is spliced from 2 exons.
ACAAGACUUAGUGACUAAACACUUUAACCUUUGCAUUCUAUUAGCUUCAUUAUAAAUUUAUCUCUAAAGGGAUGUUGCCUAAGGAUUAAAAUAUACAUAAAAGCCUUUCUCCAGGAACCGUGCCUCCCAGGCCUGAGGGCUUAAGGUGAAAAAUACCUUUGUUUAGCUUCCAGAGAAACCCUGACCCAGCCCCACUGUGAAUGGAUGCUGGAAAGAAGAAAUUAUCAUAUCCGUCCCCCCCCCAACCCCCCAACCCCUGCCCAAGUCUGGUGAGAACAAGGAAAUAUUUGCAACAACUUCCUGGGUUUUUUUGUUUGUUUGUUUGUUUUAACUUUAUUGCCUCACCUUCCCCUCUUUGUUCCAUAAAAGACACUAGCAUCCAAGCCAGACCAGAGGGUUCUUGAGGCCAUUUGACCACCAUCUUCUGCAGUUGGUUGGCUUUGCGGAUAAAGUGGCUAUUUCUUUCCCCAGCACCUCAUCUCUCUAUGGAUUGACCUGUGUGGGACUAGAAGUAGGAGCUUGGACUUGAUCACAAACUUUAGCGACGCCAGUCAGGGCCUUGCUACUAGAGGCCAGCGGGCGGGUUACAUAAUUUUAGGGUAAGGCCCUAGGAGCUGCAGGAACCACUUGUUCUGAAAAUCUUCCCCUUCAAAGUCCCCUGAAGCGGCACCAGACUCUUGCAGCAAGGAAUGCACAGACUUCUAGGAACUGAAGAACUCGACCAUCCAGUAGUGUGAGUCGCUGUUGGUGGACAACAGGGAACACCCUCCCCCACACAGUUGGGGUUUUCCUCCACCAGGCCAGCCAAUUUGUUUUGCCUUUGACUGAGAUACGCUGUUGGAGAGGGCACUUGUUGGACUCUACCCGACUUGGAAACUGUGUGGCUGUAUUUGGAAUAAGGAAGUAAUUAAAGUUAGAUUGGUGUUCUUGAAAGAAGAGAUAUCCGGGAAGCUCAUUCCCUGUUUCUGCCUUUGAGGACACAGCAAGAAGACAGCCCUUUAUAAGCCCAGAAGAGAGUGCCCACCAGUAACUGAAUCACCUAGUGCCUUAAUCUUAUACUUCUCAGCCUCCAGAACUGCAAGAAAACAAAAUUUUUUCAGUUUAAGC